Molecule: long non-coding RNA, 246 nt
Organism: Carassius gibelio (silver crucian carp)
Lineage: Eukaryota; Metazoa; Chordata; Actinopteri; Cypriniformes; Cyprinidae
Exons: 3
Source: RefSeq, a predicted model, not a curated record
GGGCUCUAUUCUCACUUUAGUGAUUCGUAGCAAUGGACAAAGGUAAGUAUUCCACAGGCAACUGGGGCUCUAUUCUCACUUUAGUGAUUCGUAGCAAUGGACAAAGGUAAGUAUUCCACAGGCAACUGGGGCUCUAUCCUCACUUUAGUGAUUCGUAGCGAUGGACAAAGGUAAGUAUUUCACAACGGGGAUUUUUCACCUAGAAUACUUCUCCUGGGCGGUGGGCUUACGGUGAAAUACUGCGAU